This 468-nucleotide ribosomal RNA is filed under the name uncultured bacterium. RNAcentral's name for it is "partial 16S ribosomal RNA". It matches the Rfam family "Bacterial small subunit ribosomal RNA", at positions 28 to 507 of the family's 1533-position model. The record is from RNAcentral.
GACGAACGCUGGCGGCGGGCUUAACACAUGCAAGUCGAACGGAAAGGCCCUGCUUUUGUGGGGUGCUCGAGUGGCGAGCGGGUGAGUAACACGUGAGUAACCUGCCCUUGACUUUGGGAUAACUUCAGGAAACUGGGGCUAAUACCGGAUAGGAGCUCCUGCUGCAUGGUGGGGGUUGGAAAGUUUCGACGGUUGGGGAUGGACUCGCGGCUUAUCAGCUUGUUGGUGGGGUAGUGGCUUACCAAGGCUUUGACGGGUAGCCGGCCUGGGAGGGUGACCGGCCACAUUGGGACUGCGAGACGGCCCAGACUCCUACGGGAGGCAGCAGGCGGGAGUAUUACACAAUGGGCGGAAGCCUGAUGCAGCGACGCCGCGUGCGGGAUGACGGCCUUCGGGUUGUAAACCGCUUUCGCCUGUGACGAAGCGUGAGUGACGGUAAUGGGUAAAGAAGCACCGGCUAACUACGUG